This 253-nucleotide ribosomal RNA is filed under the name uncultured bacterium. Its description in RNAcentral is "partial 16S ribosomal RNA". It matches the Rfam family "Bacterial small subunit ribosomal RNA", at positions 524 to 776 of the family's 1533-position model. The record is from RNAcentral.
GACGAACCGUGCGAACGUUGUUCGGAAUCACUGGGCGUAAAGGGCGCGUAGGCGGGCCGUAAAGUCAGGGGUGAAAUCCUCCAGCUUAACUGGAGAACUGCCUUUGAUACUGACGGCCUCGAGUGAGGUAGGGGCGUGCGGAACUGAUGGUGGAGCGGUGAAAUGUGUUGAUAUCAUCAGGAACUCCGGUGGCGAAAGCGGCACGCUGGACCUCUACUGACGCUGAGGCGCGAAAGCCAGGGGAGCGAACGGG